AGCUCUCGUAGCUCAGUUGGUAGAGCGCGGCACUAGUAAUGCCGAGGUCUACGGUUCAACUCCGUACGGGAGCA
RNAcentral lists this transfer RNA (74 nucleotides) under Pseudogymnoascus verrucosus. RNAcentral's name for it is "partial tRNA-Thr". It matches the Rfam family "tRNA". Rfam says of the family: Transfer RNA (tRNA) molecules are approximately 80 nucleotides in length. Their secondary structure includes four short double-helical elements and three loops (D, anti-codon, and T loops). The record is from RNAcentral. Lineage: Eukaryota; Fungi; Ascomycota; Leotiomycetes; Thelebolales; Thelebolaceae.